CCUACGGGAGGCAGCAGUAGGGAAUCUUCCACAAUGGACGAAAGUCUGAUGGAGCAACGCCGCGUGAGCGAAGAAGGCCUUCGGGUCGUAAAGCUCUGUUGUCAGGGAAGAACAAGUAUCGGAGUAACUGCCGGUACCUUGACGGUACCUGACCAGAAAGCCACGGCUAACUACGUGCCAGCAGCCGCGGUAAUACGUAGGUGGCAAGCGUUGUCCGGAAUUAUUGGGCGUAAAGCGCGCGCAGGCGGUCCUUUAAGUCUGAUGUGAAAGCCCACGGCUCAACCGUGGAGGGUCAUUGGAAACUGGGGGACUUGAGUGCAGAAGAGGAAAGCGGAAUUCCACGUGUAGCGGUGAAAUGCGUAGAGAUGUGGAGGAACACCAGUGGCGAAGGCGGCUUUCUGGUCUGUAACUGACGCUGAGGCGCGAAAGCGUGGGGAGCAACCAGGAUUAGAUACCCUGGUAGUCCACGCCGUAAACGAUGAGUGCUAAGUGUUAGAGGGUUUCCGCCCUUUAGUGCUGCAGCUAACGCAUUAAGCACUCCGCCUGGGGAGUACGGCCGCAAGGCUGAAACUCAAAGGAAUUGACGGGGGCCCGCACAAGCGGUGGAGCAUGUGGUUUAAUUCGAAGCAACGCGAAGAACCUUAC
RNAcentral lists this ribosomal RNA (645 nucleotides) under bacterium HN2-10-22. Its description in RNAcentral is "bacterial SSU rRNA". It matches the Rfam family "Bacterial small subunit ribosomal RNA", at positions 338 to 974 of the family's 1533-position model. The record is from RNAcentral.